Long non-coding RNA from Lineus longissimus, 1650 nucleotides. RefSeq lists it as uncharacterized. Lineage: Eukaryota; Metazoa; Nemertea; Pilidiophora; Heteronemertea; Lineidae. The record is from RefSeq and is a predicted model, not a curated record. The transcript is spliced from 4 exons.
UUUUGAUUGGUUGCAUCGGCUCAUCCGAGUUCGUUGACAUUGUGUGUUCCACUACUCAUUUGGUAUCUUACACAACAUUGUUCAUCUAACUGACUGCAGGGAGCGGUGCCAGUCUUUCGGACCGCAGCUAACAGUGUCUUGGGCAGUCACCACCAUUUUAUGCUCUAUUAUGUACUCAAGAGUCACUUAUCUGUGAAAAAAAUGUCAGCAGAAAAAGCUUUACCAACAGGUGCUGUUGUGCGACAAAUGACCGAAGAUGACGUCCCAGAUAUGAUCAACACUGGAGAUGCAGAGGGCUGGUACAUCCGAUAUCACGACGUCCUUGCACAGUACAUGAUUUCUCCUGAGGGAUGCUUUAUCGCAGAGCUCAAUUGAGAAAACAUUGGUUUCUGCAUGUGUGUAAACUGGGGCGACACGCAGGCAUUUUUGGGGAUGUUCGUGGUGAGGAAGUACUUGAGGGGACAGGGCAUAGGUUCCGCACUAUUUAAACGCUGCUGGGCGUUUAAGGGGAACAGGAACACGGGAUUAUCUUCUCCGGUGGAAAUGGUUGAAGUAUACAAGAGGCUAGGCCUCACGGAAAUCGGCAAGUGGAGGCUUGUGGUGUACGAUGGAAAAAUAGACUCUUCUAAAAUAAAGGCAAAAUAGUUAUCCAAGGGACUUGACAUUAUCCCGUAUGAAGAAACCUUUUUUCGAGAUAUUGUCGAUUACGACACUGCGCUGAACACCGUAGGAUCUCGGGAGAGGUUCAUCAGGUUGUGCCUAGAGAAACCAAGCACGAUGUGUUACGUUGCUCGGGACAACGGUCGAGUGAUUGGUUAUGGAAUCAUCCAACCUUCGAUUCAUGGUUACCGCAUUGCACUACUUUAUUGUGACUCGCCGAACGCAGCAAUGGCCCCUUUGAAGAAGCUUAUAGAGGCUCUUCCUGAGGAGACGCCUGUUGUUGUGUUCUUUGCUCCAGACUGUAACGCGACUGAACUCGCAAAAGAGUUUGACAUGAAAACAUAUUGGGGUCCUUUGCAGAGACUGUUUACAAAAUAUGACCUGUUGAAAAUUAAUCCUGAGAAAAUAUUUCUGACUUUUGAAUGCGAGACAUGUUUCAUUUGAGGAAAAUCAAAUGAAACAGUCUGUGUCAUUUAGCGAUGAAACCUGUUGAGUAUUUGAAACGUAUUUGUGUAUUGAAAUUAUUAAAACAAUUGUAAGGUUGCUUACGCGAAUGCUUGUCGCUUUGAGCAAUAUAUGAAUAGGUGCGAAUGGCAAACCUCAAGCAUGCUAGCAUGCCAGUGUGUCUGAAAAUAGAAGUACAUGCAUAUAUCUAUAUGGUACGGCGAGCGAUAUAUAUAUUUUUGGUUCUAUGCAUAGUUUCUUUCAAAUAUUCAAGUUGGAUGAAUACAGAAUGGCUGUCCGUUGGCAGCAGAUAUCAACAUAGAUGCUAGUACAACUUUGAACUACAGAAUGGCCGCCCAUUAUUUUAUUGCCUGUAAUAUUGGAAUUACGAACGAAAUCUUCGAACUACAAAGCAAUCAAUCAACGUUGCAUAAUAUCAAGAGUUGAAUAAUAAAGACUAUAAUUCUUGAUGAUAUAUCAACGCAUGGCUAAUUAUUCUUACGCAUGAGGAAUACACACAUCAUGGUUUUUGUAUAUAUUAACUUC